This 252-nucleotide ribosomal RNA is filed under the name uncultured bacterium. Its description in RNAcentral is "partial 16S ribosomal RNA". It matches the Rfam family "Bacterial small subunit ribosomal RNA", at positions 524 to 776 of the family's 1533-position model. The record is from RNAcentral.
UACGAAGGGGGCUAGCGUUGUUCGGAAUUAUUGGGCGGAAAGCGCGCGCAGGCGGUUAUGUAAGUCUGAUGUUAAAGCCCGGGGCUCAACCUCGGUUCGCAUUGGAAACUGCGUAACUUGAGUGCAGAAGAGGAAAGUGGUAUUCCACGUGUAGCGGUGAAAUGCGUAGAGAUGUGGAGGAACACCAGUGGCGAAGGCGGCUUUCUGGUCUGUAACUGACGCUGAGGCGCGAAAGCGUGGGGAGCAAACAGG